UUCUUUUUUGUGGGGGGGGGGGAGGGAGAGGUAAGAUGGUCCACACCGGAUCUCCCUUUCUGUUGAAGACAGAAAUGGGGCCGGGCUUGGGCUAGUCUGCCAUGGAUGGGGAGUCUCAGGGGUGAGUGGGGGAAUCGGAGAAAGACCUUAAACUCUGCUUUUCUUUCUUUUUCUUUUUCUUUUUUUUUUUCUGUGAACCAACUCAAUGGCAAAGUGGUAACUGGUGAAGGAACUUGGGGAAGGAGCCUUAAUGACCUAGGGCUUGGGCUGCAGAGAUUGUCUGGUGGGGAGAUUGGUAGCUGGCGCGUGUGUCCAGUUGGGAGGUGCCCAGUGGAGACCCCAUUUUUCCCACAGCGCCCCUGAGGCUCCCAGUGGGGUGGGGGUGACCCCCAGCUCCAGCUUGGGACACCCUCCAAACCUCGGUACCUACUCCCAAGUCGGGAGUCCGCUAUCCCUCUGCUGGGCCUGUCCACUGUGACGUUGGUAGUAGGGUUCCCCCAGACUUCCUCUCCUUGUAUUAGCCUCGGUCACGCCGCCAGGUCACCCCACUCCCUACCCCCAACCUCAGCCAGGUAACCAUUUAAGCUCUGCUGUUUACCAAAAUCCCUUCCAGGCUUCGUCACCGGCCGCCAAGCUGGGUCCCUAAUUAACCCGUCCACUGCGCUUCCUCCCCGGCGCCGCUCGGACCCAGGGCCUCCGGCGGUCUCCAGCAGGGCGGGGCAGCAGGAGGCGCGCGCUGGAGACCCGGCUUAUUCCCGCGGACCCCUGGGGGCCGCCAGGUGGAAGAUCAGAUCAGUGGGCACUGUGACUGCAGGGUUUUUAAUGAAACCUCUCAAGAGACUGCUGUCAACCCCCUGGACCCCGUCUCCUGCCUCCUGCCUCCAGCCACCGCCUGCCCCCCCCCCCAACCUCCUCCCUGCUACGAACUAAAUAAAAAGCAGUAAAAUCA
This is a long non-coding RNA of Erinaceus europaeus (western European hedgehog), 949 nucleotides long. RefSeq lists it as uncharacterized. The record is from RefSeq and is a predicted model, not a curated record. The transcript has 2 exons. Lineage: Eukaryota; Metazoa; Chordata; Mammalia; Eulipotyphla; Erinaceidae.